Long non-coding RNA from Oryzias javanicus (javanese ricefish), 2216 nucleotides. Lineage: Eukaryota; Metazoa; Chordata; Actinopteri; Beloniformes; Adrianichthyidae. The record is from Ensembl.
GUUAAUCUGAAAAGAAAGACAAUUAGAUGUAAUGAACAGCAGCUGUGUCUCCUGAGGAUGAACUUUUUAAGCUCCUCUUGUUGUUGGAGUUCUCAUUCAGUGUCUGACAAGAUGGGAGCUGAGUCAGUGUUGGGCUUUGUCAUUCUGGCUGUUUGCUCUGGCAUUGCUUCAGGUUUGCCAGUUGAUAGAAAAAGCCAGAAUGCUGAUGAACUGCUGGGGACAGAAAAUGGAAUCUCCUCUUUAAGUAACAGCCUUGGUCUUCUGCAGUCAGUGGAUUCCAGUGUAAAUAACAUUAAAGAAGUUCAAAUGGAAACCAAUGAGGUAGAAGCGGAGACAUCACUUAAGAGACUUGGAAGCGUUUGGACUCGCAUAGCUGCUAGCAACCAGACUGUGUCCGACGCCGCCAGCAACCAGACUGUGUCCGACGCCGCCAGCAACCAGACUGUGUCCGACGCCGCCAGCAACCAGACUGUGUCCCGCCGCCAGCAACCAGACUGUGUCCGACGCCGCCAGCAACCAGACUGUGUCCGACGCCGCCAGCAACCAGACUGUGUCCGACGCCGCCAGCAACCAGACUGUGUCCGACGCCGCCAGCAACCAGACUGUGUCCGACGCCGCCAGCAACCAGACUGUGUCCGACGCCGCCAGCAACCAGACUGUGUCCGACGCCGCCAGCAACCAGACUGUGUCCGACGCCGCCAGCAACCAGACUGUGUCCGACGCCGCCAGCAACCAGACUGUGUCCGACGCCGCCAGCAACCAGACUGUGUCCGACGCCGCCAGCAACCAGACUGUGUCCGACGCCGCCAGCAACCAGACUGUGUCCGACGCCGCCAGCAACCAGACUGUGUCCGACGCCGCCAGCAACCAGACUGUGUCCGACGCCGCCAGCAACCAGACUGUGUCCGACGCCGCCAGCAACCAGACUGUGUCCGACGCCGCCAGCAACCAGACUGUGUCCGACGCCGCCAGCAACCAGACUGUGUCCGACGCCGCCAGCAACCAGACUGUGUCCGACGCCGCCAGCAACCAGACUGUGUCCGACGCCGCCAGCAACCAGACUGUGUCCGACGCCGCCAGCAACCAGACUGUGUCCGACGCCGCCAGCAACCAGACUGUGUCCGACGCCGCCAGCAACCAGACUGUGUCCGACGCCGCCAGCAACCAGACUGUGUCCGACGCCGCCAGCAACCAGACUGUGUCCGACGCCGCCAGCAACCAGACUGUGUCCGACGCCGCCAGCCAAGACUGUGUCCGACGCCGCCAGCAACCAGACUGUGUCCGACGCCGCCAGCAACCAGACUGUGUCCGACGCCGCCAGCAACCAGACUGUGUCCGACGCCGCCAGCAACCAGACUGUGUCCGACGCCGCCAGCAACCAGACUGUGUCCGACGCCGCCAGCAACCAGACUGUGUCCGACGCCGCCAGCAACCAGACUGUGUCCGACGCCGCCAGCAACCAGACUGUGUCCGACGCCGCCAGCAACCAGACUGUGUCCGACGCCGCCAGCAACCAGACUGUGUCCGACGCCGCCAGCAACCAGACUGUGUCCGACGCCGCCAGCAACCAGACUGUGUCCGACGCCGCCAGCAACCAGACUGUGUCCGACGCCGCCAGCAACCAGACUGUGUCCGACGCCGCCAGCAACCAGACUGUGUCCGACGCCGCCAGCAACCAGACUGUGUCCGACGCCGCGCAGCAACCAGACUGUGUCCGACGCCGCCAGCAACCAGACUGUGUCCGACGCCGCCAGCAACCAGACUGUGUCCGACGCCGCCAGCAACCAGACUGUGUCCGACGCCGCCAGCAACCAGACUGUGUCCGACGCCGCCAGCAACCAGACUGUGUCCGACGCCGCCAGCAACCAGACUGUGUCCGACGCCGCCAGCAACCAGACUGUGUCCGACGCCGCCAGCAACCAGACUGUGUCCGACGCCGCCAGCGGUUUCUUCUUUUGGUGAUCAGUCUUUUGCUUUGUAUUUCAAAUAAAUCAAUUUUAAUCGUAUUGGGACUUUCUACUUUUCUUUUGACCUUGUUGUCUGUCCCAGUAGAGUUCGUAAGAUAAAGGGAAGUUGGUGGAAGAAAAAUUUACCAUGAGACUCCGUUAGGAGGUAGUUUUGGAACUGCCAUGCAUUAGAUGAAAACUUGUGCAGAUAGCUUAUAGGAAGAUUGUGGCACUAAUUCCCAGACAAUUUUUAUAAAAUCCUAGUUGAGG